UACGGAGGGGGCUAGCGUUGUUCGGAAUUACUGGGCGUAAAGCGCACGUAGGCGGAUCAGUUAGUCGGGGGUGAAAUCCCGGGGCUCAACCCCGGAACUGCCUUCGAUACUGCUGGUCUGGAGUCCGAGAGAGGUGAGUGGAAUUCCGAGUGUAGAGGUGAAAUUCGUAGAUAUUCGGAGGAACACCAGUGGCGAAGGCGGCUCACUGGACCGGUACUGACGCUGAUGCGCGAAAGCGUGGGGAGCAAACGGG
Molecule: ribosomal RNA, 253 nt
Filed under: uncultured bacterium
Lineage: Bacteria
Description: partial 16S ribosomal RNA
Rfam family: Bacterial small subunit ribosomal RNA
Source: RNAcentral